GGGCCAGACUCCUACGGGAGGCAGCAGUGAGGAAUAUUGGUCAAUGGGCGGGAGCCUGAACCAGCCAAGCCGCGUGAGGGAAGAAGGUACAGCGUAUCGUAAACCUCUUUUGUCAGGGAACAAAGGCGGGGACUAGUCCCCGGAUGAGGGUACCUGAAGAAAAAGCAUCGGCUAACUCCGUGCCGGCAGCCGCGGUAAUACGGAGGAUGCGAGCGUUAUCCGGAUUUAUUGGGUUUAAAGGGUGCGUAGGGGGGCUGUUAAGUCAGCGGUAAAAUGUCGGGGCUCAACCCCGGCCUGCCGUUGAAACUGGCGGGCUGGAGUUGGAGAGAAGUACGCGGAAUGCGCGGUGUAGCGGUGAAAUGCUUAGAUAUCGCGCAGAACCCCGAUUGCGAAGGCAGCGUACCGGCUCCACACUGACGCUGAGGCACGAAAGCGUGGGUAUCGAACAGGAUUAGAUACCCUAGUA
This 466-nucleotide ribosomal RNA is filed under the name uncultured bacterium. RNAcentral describes it as "bacterial SSU rRNA". It matches the Rfam family "Bacterial small subunit ribosomal RNA", at positions 328 to 792 of the family's 1533-position model. The record is from RNAcentral.